RNAcentral lists this transfer RNA (90 nucleotides) under Mesorhizobium sp. RNAcentral describes it as "tRNA-Ser". It matches the Rfam family "tRNA". From Rfam's summary of the family: Transfer RNA (tRNA) molecules are approximately 80 nucleotides in length. The record is from RNAcentral. Lineage: Bacteria; Pseudomonadati; Pseudomonadota; Alphaproteobacteria; Hyphomicrobiales; Phyllobacteriaceae.
GGAGGGAUGGCCGAGCGGUUUAAGGCACCGGUCUUGAAAACCGGCGUGGGUGCAAGCCCACCGUGGGUUCGGAUCCCACUCCCUCCGCCA